AGUCCCAACGGCUAGUAGACAUCGUUUACGGCGURGACUACCAGGGUAUCUAAUCCUNUUURCUCCCCACGCUUUCGCACCUCAGUGDCAGUAUUGGUCCAGGUAGCCGCCUUCGCCACUGGUGUUCCUUCCUAUAUCYACGCAUUUCACCGCUACACAGGAAAUUCCACUACCCUCUACCAYACUCUANCCWGACAGUUCGAAAUGCCGUUCCCAGGUUAAGCCCGGGGCUUUCACAUCUCGCYUACCAAACCACCUACGCGCGCUUUACGCCCAGNAAUUCCGAUUAACGCCUGCACCCUCCGUAUUACCGCGGCNGCNGGCACGGAGUUAGCCGGUGCUUCUUCUGYAAGUAACGUCAAGCCCCACAAGUAUUACCACAAGCCUUCCNCCCCACUGAAAGNGCUUUACAACCCGAAAGCCUUCUUCACACACGCGGCAGGG
This 444-nucleotide ribosomal RNA is filed under the name Marinobacter sp. E33A. RNAcentral's name for it is "16S ribosomal RNA". The record is from RNAcentral. Lineage: Bacteria; Pseudomonadati; Pseudomonadota; Gammaproteobacteria; Pseudomonadales; Marinobacteraceae.